This 301-nucleotide ribosomal RNA is filed under the name uncultured bacterium. RNAcentral's name for it is "partial 16S ribosomal RNA". It matches the Rfam family "Bacterial small subunit ribosomal RNA", at positions 509 to 808 of the family's 1533-position model. The record is from RNAcentral.
CAGUAGCCGCGGGAAUACGUAGGUGGCGAGCGUUGUCCGGAAUCAUUGGGCGUAAAGGGAGCGCAGGCGGGCAUGUAAGUCUUUCUUAAAAGUGCGGGGCUCAACCCCGUGAUGGGAAAGAAACUACAUGUCUUGAGUACAGGAGAGGAAAGCGGAAUUCCCAGUGUAGCGGUGAAAUGCGUAGAUAUUGGGAGGAACACCAGUGGCGAAGGCGGCUUUCUGGACUGCAACUGACGCUGAGGCUCGAAAGCCAGGGGAGCGAACGGGAUUAGAUACCCCAGUAGUCCCUGUCUCUUAUACC